UACGUAGGGGCCUAGCGUUGUCCGGAAUUAUUGGGCGUAAAGAGCUCGUAGGCGGUUUGUCGCGUCUGCUGUGAAAACUCAGGGCUUAACCCUGAGCCUGCAGUGGGUACGGGCAGACUAGAGUGUGGUAGGGGAGAUCGGAAUUCCUGGUGUAGCGGUGGAAUGCGCAGAUAUCAGGAGGAACACCGGUGGCGAAGGCGGCUCUCUGGACCGAGACUGACGCUGAGGCGCGAAAGCGUGGGGAGCAAACAGG
Molecule: ribosomal RNA, 253 nt
Filed under: uncultured bacterium
Lineage: Bacteria
Description: partial 16S ribosomal RNA
Rfam family: Bacterial small subunit ribosomal RNA
Source: RNAcentral